Molecule: ribosomal RNA, 253 nt
Filed under: uncultured bacterium
Lineage: Bacteria
Description: partial 16S ribosomal RNA
Rfam family: Bacterial small subunit ribosomal RNA
Source: RNAcentral
UACGUAGGGGGCAAGCGUUGUCCGGAAUCAUUGGGCGUAAAGCGCGUGUAGGCGGCCCGGUAAGUCCGCUGUGAAAGUCGGGGGCUCAACCCUCGAAAGCCGGUGGAUACUGUCGGGCUAGAGUACGGAAGAGGCGAGUGGAAUUCCUGGUGUAGCGGUGAAAUGCGCAGAUAUCAGGAAGAACACCAACGGCGAAGGCAGCUUGCUGGGACGGUACUGACGCUGAGACGCGAAAGCGUGGGGAGCGAACAGG